UAGGGAAUCUUCCGCAAUGGGCGAAAGCCUGACGGAGCAACGCCGCGUGAGUGAUGAAGGUCUUCGGAUCGUAAAACUCUGUUAUUAGGGAAGAACAAAUGUGUAAGUAACUAUGCACGUCUUGACGGUACCUAAUCAGAAAGCCACGGCUAACUACGUGCCAGCAGCCGCGGUAAUACGUAGGUGGCAAGCGUUAUCCGGAAUUAUUGGGCGUAAAGCGCGCGUAGGCGGUUUUUUAAGUCUGAUGUGAAAGCCCACGGCUCAACCGUGGAGGGUCAUUGGAAACUGGAAAACUUGAGUGCAGAAGAGGAAAGUGGAAUUCCAUGUGUAGCGGUGAAAUGCGCAGAGAUAUGGAGGAACACCAGUGGCGAAGGCGACUUACUGGUCUGUAACUGACGCUGAUGUGCGAAAGCGUGGGGAUCAAACAGG
Molecule: ribosomal RNA, 429 nt
Filed under: Actinomycetes bacterium
Lineage: Bacteria; Bacillati; Actinomycetota; Actinomycetes
Description: Actinobacteria bacterium partial 16S ribosomal RNA
Rfam family: Bacterial small subunit ribosomal RNA
Source: RNAcentral